CUUUCUUGUCUAGACAUAUCGACAGUCUCACAUUUCAUGAUGAACAGAAUGAGAGAAAAAAUCAUGUGUAUAAGUUGCGAAUGAUGGUAUUGAAGUAAUCGCACAGUGUCAGCGACAUUAGUCCACCAGUCAGAGCAAUAGAGCUUGCGUUCUGGCCAGUGGAUGGCAUUUACAAUUGAUCAACAUUAGCAACAGUGGGACAUCAUGUAUAUAUGCAUGAAAUAUUUAGUGAUGCACCAGAAAAUGUUGUCCUUGAAGAAACCAGCUGGCUGCAUUACAGAUGAAGCUACUGGUUGUGGAACUCCAGCCGGGGAGCUUCAUCUUUGUCGAGCAGUGGGCACUGGAUACUGCCAGAUUUCUGCGAAGACACCGACUGCUUUGGCCCGGGGGCUCCUCACAACGAUGUUCAACAGACAUGCCAUUUUGACCUGCCUAAUGAAGAUUAAGAAGGUGAAAGGGAUCCACAAGCCACUGGCCAACCAUCCACCUCUUCUCGCUGCUGGCAUUGAUGCCAUUUUAUCAUUCACGAAAAGCACGGCCAUAGCGAAAGGCUGGGAGUGUUCAUAGAAACUCCUUGUGCCAUCGAUGGGCACGAAGCUCGCCGAGCU
Molecule: long non-coding RNA, 608 nt
Organism: Rhipicephalus microplus (southern cattle tick)
Lineage: Eukaryota; Metazoa; Arthropoda; Arachnida; Ixodida; Ixodidae
Source: RefSeq, a predicted model, not a curated record